GGAAUAGUAGCUCAGUUGGUUAGAACCGACAACUUAUAAUUGUCAGACGCGAGUUCAAAUCUCGACUAUUCCACCA
Molecule: transfer RNA, 76 nt
Filed under: Caudoviricetes sp.
Lineage: Duplodnaviria; Heunggongvirae; Uroviricota; Caudoviricetes
Description: tRNA-Ile
Rfam family: tRNA
About the family: Transfer RNA (tRNA) molecules are approximately 80 nucleotides in length.
Source: RNAcentral